UACGGAGGGGGCUAGCGUUGUUCGGAAUUACUGGGCGUAAAGCGCACGUAGGCGGCUUUGUAAGUUAGAGGUGAAAGCCCGGAGCUUAACUCCGGAACUGCCUUUAAGACUGCAUCGCUUGAAUCAUGGAGAGGUAAGCGGAAUUCCGAGUGUAGAGGUGAAAUUCGUAGAUAUUCGGAAGAACACCAGUGGCGAAGGCGACUUACUGGACAUGUAUUGACGCUGAGGUGCGAAAGCGUGGGGAGCAAACAGG
RNAcentral lists this ribosomal RNA (253 nucleotides) under uncultured bacterium. RNAcentral describes it as "partial 16S ribosomal RNA". It matches the Rfam family "Bacterial small subunit ribosomal RNA", at positions 524 to 776 of the family's 1533-position model. The record is from RNAcentral.